CCUACGGGAGGCAGCAGUGAGGAAUAUUGGUCAAUGGGCGGGAGCCUGAACCAGCCAAGCCGCGUGAGGGAAGAAGGUACAGCGUAUUGUAAACCUCUUUUGUCAGGGAAUAAAGGAGGGGACUAGUCCCCGGAUGAGGGUACCUGAAGAAAAAGCAUCGGCUAACUCCGUGCCAGCAGCCGCGGUAAUACGGAGGAUGCGAGCGUUAUCCGGAUUUAUUGGGUUUAAAGGGUGCGAAGGCGGCCUGUUAAGUCAGAGGUAAAAGCUUGGGGCUCAACCCCAGAGAGCCAUUUAGACUGGCGGGCUGGAGUUGGAGAGAAGUACGCGGAAUGCGCGGUGUAGCGGUGAAAUGCUUAGAUAUCGCGCAGAACCCCGAUUGCGAAGGCAGCGUACCGGCUCCACACUGACGCUGAGGCACGAAAGCGUGGGUAUCGAACAGGAUUAGAUACCCGAGUAGUC
Molecule: ribosomal RNA, 459 nt
Filed under: uncultured bacterium
Lineage: Bacteria
Description: partial 16S ribosomal RNA
Rfam family: Bacterial small subunit ribosomal RNA
Source: RNAcentral